UACGUAGGGAGCAAGCGUUGUCCGGAAUCAUUGGGCGUAAAGCGCGCGUAGGUGGCUUCGUAAGUCCGUUGUGAAAGUCAAAGGCUCAACCUUUGAAAGCCGAUGGAUACUGUGAAGCUAGAGUACGGAAGAGGCGAGUGGAAUUCCUGGUGUAGCGGUGGAAUGCGCAGAUAUCAGGAAGAACACCAAUGGCGAAAGCAGCUCUCUGGGACGGUACUGACGCUGAGACGCGAAAGCGUGGGGAGCGAACAGG
This 253-nucleotide ribosomal RNA is filed under the name uncultured bacterium. RNAcentral's name for it is "partial 16S ribosomal RNA". It matches the Rfam family "Bacterial small subunit ribosomal RNA", at positions 524 to 776 of the family's 1533-position model. The record is from RNAcentral.